RNAcentral lists this microRNA (25 nucleotides) under Equus caballus (horse). RNAcentral describes it as "eca-miR-9012". Lineage: Eukaryota; Metazoa; Chordata; Mammalia; Perissodactyla; Equidae. The record is from miRBase by way of RNAcentral.
UGGGUCUCUGAUGCAGCACCAGGCA